Molecule: ribosomal RNA, 1023 nt
Filed under: Staphylococcus aureus M0101
Lineage: Bacteria; Bacillati; Bacillota; Bacilli; Caryophanales; Staphylococcaceae
Also listed under: 4 other names
Description: bacterial SSU rRNA
Rfam family: Bacterial small subunit ribosomal RNA
Source: RNAcentral
AGAGUUUGAUCCUGGCUCAGGAUGAACGCUGGCGGCGUGCCUAAUACAUGCAAGUCGAGCGAACGGACGAGAAGUUUGCUUCUCUGAUGUUAGCGGCGGACGGGUGAGUAACACGUGGAUAACCUACCUAUAAGACUGGGAUAACUUCGGGAAACCGGAGCUAAUACCGGAUAAUAUUUUGAACCGCAUGGUUCAAAAGUGAAAGACGGUCUUGCUGUCACUUAUAGAUGGAUCCGCGCUGCAUUAGCUAGUUGGUAAGGUAACGGCUUACCAAGGCAACGAUGCAUAGCCGACCUGAGAGGGUGAUCGGCCACACUGGAACUGAGACACGGUCCAGACUCCUACGGGAGGCAGCAGUAGGGAAUCUUCCGCAAUGGGCGAAAGCCUGACGGAGCAACGCCGCGUGAGUGAUGAAGGUCUUCGGAUCGUAAAACUCUGUUAUUAGGGAAGAACAUAUGUGUAAGUAACUGUGCACAUCUUGACGGUACCUAAUCAGAAAGCCACGGCUAACUACGUGCCAGCAGCCGCGGUAAUACGUAGGUGGCAAGCGUUAUCCGGAAUUAUUGGGCGUAAAGCGCGCGUAGGCGGUUUUUUAAGUCUGAUGUGAAAGCCCACGGCUCAACCGUGGAGGGUCAUUGGAAACUGGAAAACUUGAGUGCAGAAGAGGAAAGUGGAAUUCCAUGUGUAGCGGUGAAAUGCGCAGAGAUAUGGAGGAACACCAGUGGCGAAGGCGACUUUCUGGUCUGUAACUGACGCUGAUGUGCGAAAGCGUGGGGAUCAAACAGGAUUAGAUACCCUGGUAGUCCACGCCGUAAACGAUGAGUGCUAAGUGUUAGGGGGUUUCCGCCCCUUAGUGCUGCAGCUAACGCAUUAAGCACUCCGCCUGGGGAGUACGACCGCAAGGUUGAAACUCAAAGGAAUUGACGGGGACCCGCACAAGCGGUGGAGCAUGUGGUUUAAUUCGAAGCAACGCGAAGAACCUUACCAAAUCUUGACAUCCUUUGACAACUCUAGAGAUAGAGC